AUUGAACGCUGGCGGCAGGCCUAACACGUGCAAGUCGAGCGGAUGAAGGGAGCUUGCUCCUGGAUUCAGCGGCGGACGGGUGAGUAAUGCCUAGGAAUCUGCCUGGUAGUGGGGGAUAACGUCCGGAAACGGGCGCUAAUACCGCAUACGUCCUGAGGGAGAAAGUGGGGGAUCUUCGGACCUCACGCUAUCAGAUGAGCCUAGGUCGGAUUAGCUAGUUGGUGGGGUAAAGGCCUACCAAGGCGGCGAUCCGUAACUGGUCUGAGAGGAUGAUCAGUCACACUGGAACUGAGACACGGUCCAGACUCCUACGGGAGGCAGCAGUGGGGAAUAUUGGACAAUGGGCGAAAGCCUGAUCCAGCCAUGCCGCGUGUGUGAAGAAGGUCUUCGGAUUGUAAAGCACUUUAAGUUGGGAGGAAGGGCAGUAAGUUAAUACCUUGCUGUUUUGACGUUACCAACAGAAUAAGCACCGGCUAACUUCGUG
RNAcentral lists this ribosomal RNA (484 nucleotides) under uncultured bacterium. RNAcentral describes it as "partial 16S ribosomal RNA". It matches the Rfam family "Bacterial small subunit ribosomal RNA", at positions 30 to 507 of the family's 1533-position model. The record is from RNAcentral.